This 443-nucleotide ribosomal RNA is filed under the name uncultured bacterium. RNAcentral describes it as "partial 16S ribosomal RNA". It matches the Rfam family "Bacterial small subunit ribosomal RNA", at positions 338 to 795 of the family's 1533-position model. The record is from RNAcentral.
CCUACGGGAGGCUGCAGUGGGGAAUAUUGGGCAAUGGGCGCAAGCCUGACCCAGCAACGCCGCGUGAAGGAAGAAGGCCCUCGGGUUGUAAACUUCUUUUGUCAGGGACGAAACUAAUGACGGUACCUGACGAAUAAGCCACGGCUAACUACGUGCCAGCAGCCGCGGUAAGACGUAGGUGGCAAGCGUUAUCCGGAUUUACGGGGUGUAAAGGGCGUGGAGGCGGGAGAGCAAGUCAGAUGUGAAAUCCCAGGGGUCAACCCUGGAACUGCAUUUGAAACUGUUUUUCUUGAGUGAUGGAGAGGCAGGCGGAAUUCCGUGUGUAGCGGUGAAAUGCGUAGAUAUACGGAGGAACACCAGUGGCGAAGGCGGCCUGCUGGACAUUAACUGACGCUGAGGCGCGAAAGCGUGGGGAGCAAACAGGAUUAGAUACCCCAGUAGUC